This 698-nucleotide ribosomal RNA is filed under the name Tanakia lanceolata. RNAcentral describes it as "partial 12S ribosomal RNA". It matches the Rfam family "Bacterial small subunit ribosomal RNA", at positions 518 to 1521 of the family's 1533-position model. The record is from RNAcentral. Lineage: Eukaryota; Metazoa; Chordata; Actinopteri; Cypriniformes; Acheilognathidae.
CGGUUAUACGAGAGGCCCCAGUUGAUAAUACCGCGGCGUAAAGGGUGGUUAAGGGCUCCAACCAAUAAAGCUAAAUAGCCCUCCGGCCGUCAUACGCUUCCAGGCGCUAGAGACCCAAUUUUACGAAAGUAGCUUUAGUAACACUCACCUGACCCCACGAAAGCUAAGAAACAAACUGGGAUUAGAUACCCCACUAUGCUUAGUCAUAAACCCAGACAUCGAAAUACAAUUGUAUGUCCGCCAGGGCACUACGAGCAUUAGCUUGAAACCCAAAGGACUGACGGUGCCUCAGACCCCCCUAGAGGAGCCUGUCCUAGAACCGAUAACCCCCGUUAAACCUCACCACUUCUGGUCUCCCCAGCCUAUAUACCGCCGUCGCCAGCUUACCCUGUGAGGGAAACAAAGUAAGCAAAAUGGGCACAACCCAGAACGUCAGGUCGAGGUGUAGCGCAUGAAGUGGGAAGAGAUGGGCUACAUUUUCUAUCGCAGAAUACUACGAAUGCGCAACAUGAAAUAGUGCUUGAAGGAGGAUUUAGAAGUAAAAAGGAAGAAGAGUGUCCUUUUGAACCCGGCUCUGAGGCGCGUACACACCGCCCGUCACUCUCCCCUGUCAAAAUGCAACAAACUUACCUAACCACAAAGCGCUGACAAGGGGAGGCAAGUCGUAACAUGGUAAGUGUACCGGAAGGUGCACUUGG